CAGUUUUAGAAGUGAGGCACUGUACUUAUUGACAAAUAAUCUAUCUGUCUGCUCUGUCUCUGUCUCUCUGUUUGUCUUCCUCAGGAUGAAAGCAGCUCCUCUGACCACAGUGACUUGGAUAUCUCUGUCAGCCCUCUGCCAGCUGUCUGCCCACGCCUACCUGCAGCCCCCAAUCCACAGAAUGUACCCACAGUCAGGAAACAAGCUCUUCUGUUCCAGAAACCAGAUAUGCUGUGGCACCCUCUGUCUUCGGCAAGGAGGAGUACAACAGUGCCAAGGCCCGUCUCACUCAACUAAGACUGAGAUGGUUAGCAGAGUGUCGUUGUCCUCCAGUAGGGGUUUCUCUCUGAGGAAGACUGACGACGACCCCCGACCUUCCAUGCCGCCCCAGAACCACCACAGCACUCAGCAGCUUUACAGAGAGAGCAGCAGGUCAUAGAGCCCCACGGUAGCCGACGCGAUGACCCCCGACCUUCCACACCACCCCAGACCCACCACAGGACUCAGCAGGUCCUGGCUGAGGUGUGUUCGUGGGACCUCGCCCCUGUUCCUGAGCAACACAAGAAGGUCUGUCACAGCCUGGCAGUGGUGUCUGGAGGAGUUGGACUCGAGUGUGAACCUGUUGGGUGAUGGACCCUGUUCGGCCUGCUGUCAGCCUGCCCACUACUGGGCAGCCUCUCCCUGCCGGCCUGCAGCCUCACAGCCUGCUACCAGUAGCCAUACAGCCUCAUACUGGCCAGCGCCUUUGCAGAUAAACAGCAACACUGCAUCGUACUGGCCAGUACCCUGGCAGGAACAGGGCACCUGAAGUCAGUGAAUCUGUCCCAUAACGCCCUGUGCUCUAUGGGCUUUGAGCUGGUCCUGAAGACUCUGCCUCUCCAAUGUCUCACUCAACUCGAUGUCUGCCAUCCGCUGUGGAACCACUGACCACCCUCCUUCAAAACAUCUCAAACACACACACACAAAUGCACACACCGACACACACACACACACAAAUUCAAAUAAAGUUAUUCUAUUGUGUACUUUCACAUUAAUUAAGCAUUGUUUGUCUAAAGAAAUGCAUAAACUAUCACAUGAUCUACAGUAAGUAUUUACUUAGUAGAGGAAAUUUGUCCAGGAAGGUACACGAUAAAGACUGCAAAUCUAAGAAAUGGAUCAGUAAAUUAUGAGGAGCUUUUAAUAGAAUUUGUUGAAACAAUUGGUUGCGUUUCUGGUCUGAGGCAGGCGCCUUGCAAGUUGAGUAAACAUUUCACAGUUUGAAAAGGAAGUUUGUCAUCCGCUUAUCUGCUGCACAACUUUGCCUUUGGUAUUCAAGCUAAGAAACGUAUUGAUAUGGUAAUUAGGAUACAAUGGUUGUAUCUUAAUUGUAUAUUUGACUUCAUGGGGAGCUAUGGCAAGAUGAUAUUUAGAGGAGCAAAUGUAGUUGUCACACCCUGAUCUGUUUCACCUGUCUUUGUGAUUGUCUCCAUUAUCCCCUGUGUAUUUUAUACCUGUGUUCUCUGUUGGUCUGUUGCCAGUUCGUCUUGUUUGUCAAGUCAACCAAUGUUUUUUUGUCUCAUGUCCUGCUUUUCCCAGUUUCUUUUUCUCGCCCUCCUGGUUUUGACCCUUGCUUGUCCUGUCUCUGAGCCCUCCUGCCUGACCACUCCACUUGACCCUGCCUGCCGUCCUAUACGUUUGCCCCACCUCUGGAUUAUUGACCUCUGCCUACCCUGACCCUGAGCCUGCCUGCCUGCCGUCCAGUACCGUUGCUCCACCUCUAGUUACUGACCCCUGCCUGCCUUUGACCUGUCUAUUGCCGGCCCCUGUUGGAUUAUUAAACCAUUGUUAAUUCGGCGUUGUCUGCAUCUGGGUCUUACCUUCAUACCUGAUAGUAGUGAUGGCUCCUCUGUAAGUAAGAUUCAUGUCAACUAGUAAUGUUUAAACUGAGAACUCAACACUGACAUAUUGGGUGAUAGUACUAUGUCUAACUGCCUGGUUAAGGGCAUACCAUGAGAUCUGGGAUUGACUGGUCCCUUGCUGAAAAUGGAAAAGGAGUCACAGAGAACAUGGUUCUCGUUGGUUCCUUUGUGUGUUCCACAGGAUGACUGCUCCCUGACCCACCUGAAUCUGGCGGGAAAUGGACUGAUGGACAGCAGCCUUUCCAUCCUCGCCAGGUGUCUGCCUCUCUGUCCCUCCAUGGUGUCUGUGGACCUGCCAUGGAACCCAUCGGUGACCUCAGCGGGACUCCACAGCAUCCUCUCCAACCGGCGACCUUUGACCUAUCUCAACCUCCAAGGUUGUCAGGUAGCCGGACCCUGGGACAGCUCUAGUUUGGACAACUUGUCAGACCAGGUCCAGGACCUGUGGCUGUGCUCCCAGGUGCUCAACAAACUGGACUGCAAGGCGCUGCAGCAGAUCUGGGGCCAGAGGAGGCCCGGGUGCUGCUUCCUCUCCAGGGAUGCCAAGUGCCUGCUCACUACUGCCCCUUCACUGUGAGGAAGACUCCUUGAGUUUUCACACCUUUAAAGACUGGUGUCGCUUCGAUUCCAAUGUGUACUUGAGAUGAUUUACACUCCUUGGUCCUCAUAUUUGAGGCAUCUUUUGGUGACACAGGCUGCAGAGGGAUCUCGGCACCAAUAUUUUGAAUGCAUUAUGUAGGUAUAAUUAUUACAGGGUGUGUGUGGGAACUCUUUCAAGACUGUUGGAAAAGUUUUCCUCAAGAAGCUGGUUGAGAGAAUGUCAAGAGUGAAAAGCUGUCAUCAAGGCAAAGGGUAGCUAGCUACCUUGAAGAACCUCAAAUAUACCAUUUGUUUAACACUGUUUUGGUUACUACGUGAUUCCAUAUGUGUUAUUUCAUAGUUUUGAUGUCUUCACUAUUAUUCUACAAUGUAGAAAAUAGUUUUUAAAAAAUAAGAAAAACCAUUGAAUGAGUAGGUGUGUCCAAACGUUUGACUGGUACUGUACGUGUAAAUUGAGUCUGUAUUUGUAUUUAUUCUAAGUUUUGUGAGUAUUCAAUGGAAAACACAAAUAUUAAGUGAACAUAAUCAUCAUUAUUUAACUCCAUUUGCCAUGGUGCUUUUUUCCAUGCAACCCCCCAACAGUUGCUGACUGACUGAAGAAAUGGUCAAGCUGAGAAAUUAUUAAAUUGCUGCAUUCUGUCAAGUUCCCCCUAGUCUCUUCCCACAGCCGCUGUAUCUCCAACACCAACACUGGAGCGUCAUGAGUCUUGCAAAUGAAACCGUUUUCACACCCAACUUGGUGUGAGUUUCUAAAGACACACAGCUUCACACUGUGGUUUCAUUCCUUUUUAGUUAACCCACUGACUGGCCUUCUUCUCACUGUUUAAUGUUUCUACAGAGGAAGGUUUUGGGUGAGCGUCAAGAUACUGUGGGAAAGUGCCUAGUCACACAUCAGUGUUGUCACCUCAGUGUAUCACUAUAUCACUCAGAGAUUGGGCCAAAGCGAUUAUGGUUAGGAUAACUAAUUUCAUCACCUGUUAUUGUAAUUUCCAAUUUCUAAAAAGCAAUUACUAAAUGGUUUGUGUUAGUUCAACUUGUGGAUGGUGUUACUGCCACCUUGAUAACUAUUUAAGCAUACCCAUGUGUGUAAAGGGAUGCUAACCACUCUUAUGGUUGGGACAUUUUUGAAAACAUGCACAAACCUUUUCACAGUUUGAAAGAUGUAGUAUGCAUGCAUACUGAAAUACUUUCUAGAAAGUGCAGCAAGUACAUAUUAGUGGUCACGGAGUCUCUUCCCGCAGCUGCUGUGUCUUACCUAUUAGUUUGAGGGAAACCAGACUAUGACAUGCAUGUGGUUAUGCUCUAGUCUAGCUAGAAUCCUCUCA
RNA transcript from Oncorhynchus kisutch (coho salmon), 3823 nucleotides. It is a transcript of the gene named tonsoku-like protein, with no coding region annotated. Lineage: Eukaryota; Metazoa; Chordata; Actinopteri; Salmoniformes; Salmonidae. The transcript is spliced from 8 exons. The record is from RefSeq and is a predicted model, not a curated record.